UCAGGCUGAAGACCUUACCCGAUUAGCUGAGAGGUGGUGCAUGGCCGUCGUCAGUUCGUACUGUGAAGCAUCCUGUUAAGUCAGGCAACGAGCGAGACCCACGUCCACAGUUGCCAGCAUACCCUCCGGGGUGAUGGGUACACUGUGGAGACCGCCGCUGCUAAAGCGGAGGAAGGAGUGGGCAACGGUAGGUCAGUAUGCCCCGAAUCUCCCGGGCUACACGCGGGCUACAAUGGUUGGUACAAAGGGCAGCGAAACCGCGAGGUCGAGCGAAUCUCAAAAAACCCAUCAUAGUCCGGAUUGCAGUCUGCAACUCGACUGCAUGAAGUUGGAAUCGCUAGUAAUCCCGGAUCAGCAUGCCGGGGUGAAUACGUUCCCGGGCCUU
This 385-nucleotide ribosomal RNA is filed under the name uncultured Methanosaeta sp. RNAcentral's name for it is "bacterial SSU rRNA". It matches the Rfam family "Archaeal small subunit ribosomal RNA", at positions 954 to 1338 of the family's 1478-position model. Lineage: Archaea; Methanobacteriati; Methanobacteriota; Methanomicrobia; Methanotrichales; Methanotrichaceae. The record is from RNAcentral.